This 157-nucleotide ribosomal RNA is filed under the name Fusarium equiseti. RNAcentral describes it as "5.8S ribosomal RNA". It matches the Rfam family "5.8S ribosomal RNA". From Rfam's summary of the family: 5.8S ribosomal RNA (5.8S rRNA) is a component of the large subunit of the eukaryotic ribosome. It is transcribed by RNA polymerase I as part of the 45S precursor that also contains 18S and 28S rRNA. Lineage: Eukaryota; Fungi; Ascomycota; Sordariomycetes; Hypocreales; Nectriaceae. The record is from RNAcentral.
AACUUUCAACAACGGAUCUCUUGGUUCUGGCAUCGAUGAAGAACGCAGCAAAAUGCGAUAAGUAAUGUGAACUGCAGAAUUCAGUGAAUCAUCGAAUCUUUGAACGCACAUUGCGCCCGCCAGUAUUCUGGCGGGCAUGCCUGUUCGAGCGUCAUUU